GAUGAACGCUGGCGGCGUGCCUAAUACAUGCAAGUCGAGCGAACAGACGAGGAGCUUGCUCCUUCGACGUUAGCGGCGGACGGGUGAGUAACACGUAGGUAACCUACCUAUAAGACUGGGAUAACUUCGGGAAACCGGAGCUAAUACCGGAUAAUAUUUCGAACCGCAUGGUUCGAUAGUGAAAGAUGGCUUUGCUAUCACUUAUAGAUGGACCUGCGCCGUAUUAGCUAGUUGGUAAGGUAACGGCUUACCAAGGCAACGAUACGUAGCCGACCUGAGAGGGUGAUCGGCCACACUGGAACUGAGACACGGUUCAGACUCCUACGGGAGGCAGCAGUAGGGAAUCUUCCGCAAUGGGCGAAAGCCUGACGGAGCAACGCCGCGUGAGUGAUGAAGGUCUUCGGAUCGUAAAACUCUGUUAUUAGGGAAGAACAAACGUGUAAGUAACUGUGCACGUCUUGACGGUACCUAAUCAGAAAGCCACGGCUAACUACGUG
This 497-nucleotide ribosomal RNA is filed under the name uncultured bacterium. Its description in RNAcentral is "partial 16S ribosomal RNA". It matches the Rfam family "Bacterial small subunit ribosomal RNA", at positions 28 to 507 of the family's 1533-position model. The record is from RNAcentral.